Long non-coding RNA from Planococcus citri (citrus mealybug), 772 nucleotides. RefSeq lists it as uncharacterized. The transcript is spliced from 2 exons. The record is from RefSeq and is a predicted model, not a curated record. NCBI's taxonomy places the organism in Eukaryota, Metazoa, Arthropoda, Insecta, Hemiptera, Pseudococcidae.
GAUGUCCCCUUUAAGAAAAAAGUUGUCCCGGAUGGUCGGCGGGGGGGGGGGGGUGCAAUUUCUCCUAUUGUCAUAUGCCGGACUAACAUACAAGUAGAAUUGAGCAAGUAGGUAGACAAUAAAAUACAGCGAGGUUUUAAUAUGGUAUCAAACCGAAGCACGAAAAAUGAGGCCUCAUGUCUCAUUAACUCAAUUAAUAUGGUUGUAAUUUUGUGACAACAAAAUCACGUAUGGUAUGAAACAUCGAAAGUACUUUCAAUGUAAUAUGUAACAUUUGAUUUUGUUCACUUUCAUUCGUCGUACAUUAUUUAUAUUAAGAAUGUAAUAAGAAGACAAAACUGAUUGCAAUAAUUAAUCAUCCUCUGAGAUCCCCAUUUUCAUUUUCAACAGAGAUGAAAAAUGGAAUAAUUAGGUUCAUCUUGAGAGUUAUAAACAAUAUUCGCGUAAGUACAUAUUAUGUAGUUGGUAAAUAAACUCAUAUACUACGCGUUUUUUUUCUCUUAAAAUACCUAAUUAAUUAAUAAUGUUAAAAUGUACUUCAUCCACGAACUGAUUCUAAGAAUCAUGUUUGAUGAACACCUGUGUGACCGAAUACAUGUUGUUUAGCGUACUCCCAAAUGAACAAUGAUGCCGAAACGUGUACGUUUAGAGAACGAAUCACUCCUUUUUGAGGAAUCUCUACGCAGGUGUCGAAUAAACACAACAGAUCAGCUGGAAUACCUUCUUUUUCAUUUCUAAAAUAAAAAACUAAAAUAAAUAUUUCACACGUUCA